GAUGAACGCUGACAGAAUGCUUAACACAUGCAAGUCUUUGGCGAAGCUGUGCUUGCACAGCCUAGCCAAGGCGGACGGGUGAGUAACGCGUAAGGAACUUGCCCUGCAGUCAGGGAUAACAGACGGAAACGACUGAUAAGACCUGGUAAAGUCAGGCGGACUCAUGUCCAGCCUGAUGAAAAGAGAUGCUGCAGGAGAGCCUUGCGUCCUAUUAGCUUGUUGGUGGGGUAACGGCCCAACAAGGCGAUGAUAGGUAGCCGGCCUGAGAGGGUGGACGGCCACAAGGGGACUGAGAUACGGCCCUUACUCCUACGGGAGGCAGCAGGGGGGAAUAUUGGACAAUGGGGGCAACACUGAUCCAGCAAUUCUGUGUGCACGAUGAAGGUUUUCGGAUUGUAAAGUGCUUUCAGCAGGGAAGAAAAAAAUGACGGUACCUGCAGAAGAAGCGACGGCUAAAUACGUG
RNAcentral lists this ribosomal RNA (463 nucleotides) under uncultured bacterium. RNAcentral's name for it is "partial 16S ribosomal RNA". It matches the Rfam family "Bacterial small subunit ribosomal RNA", at positions 28 to 507 of the family's 1533-position model. The record is from RNAcentral.